UCCCCUGUAAUUCAAUUGGUAGAAUAUCUGACUGUUAAUCAGAAAGUUGUAGGUUCGAGUCCUACCGGGGGAG
Molecule: transfer RNA, 73 nt
Filed under: Patescibacteria group bacterium
Lineage: Bacteria
Description: tRNA-Asn
Rfam family: tRNA
About the family: Transfer RNA (tRNA) molecules are approximately 80 nucleotides in length.
Source: RNAcentral